AGUCUGCAACCCGACUACAUGAAGCUGGAAUCGCUAGUAAUCGCGGAUCAGAAUGCCGCGGUGAAUACGUUCCCGGGUCUUGUACACACCGCCCGUCACACCAUGGGAGUCGGAAAUGCCCGAAGUCGGUGACCUAACUGAAAGGAAGGAGCCGCCGAAGGCAGGUCUGGUGACUGGGGUGAAGUCGUAACAAGGUAUC
RNAcentral lists this ribosomal RNA (199 nucleotides) under uncultured bacterium. Its description in RNAcentral is "partial 16S ribosomal RNA". It matches the Rfam family "Bacterial small subunit ribosomal RNA", at positions 1302 to 1500 of the family's 1533-position model. The record is from RNAcentral.